AACGAACGCUGGCGGCAUGCCUAACACAUGCAAGUCGGACGAGACCUUCGGGUCUAGUGGCGCACGGGUGCGUAACGCGUGGGAACCUGCCCUUAGGUUCGGAAUAACUCCCCGAAAGGGGUGCUAAUACCGGAUAAUGUCUUCGGACCAAAGAUUUAUCGCCUUUGGAUGGGCCCGCGUUGGAUUAGCUAGUUGGUAGGGUAAAAGCCUACCAAGGCGACGAUCCAUAGCUGGUCUGAGAGGAUGAUCAGCCACACUGGGACUGAGACACAGCCCAGACUCCUACGGGAGGCAGCAGUGGGGAAUAUUGGACAAUGGGCGAAAGCCUGAUCCAGCAAUGCCGCGUGAGUGAUGAAGGCCUUAGGGUUGUAAAGCUCUUUUACCCGGGAUGAUAAUGACAGUACCGGGAGAAUAAGCUCCGGCUAACUCCGUG
Molecule: ribosomal RNA, 433 nt
Filed under: uncultured bacterium
Lineage: Bacteria
Description: partial 16S ribosomal RNA
Rfam family: Bacterial small subunit ribosomal RNA
Source: RNAcentral